RNAcentral lists this ribosomal RNA (458 nucleotides) under Periclimenes wirtzi. Its description in RNAcentral is "partial 16S ribosomal RNA". It matches the Rfam family "Bacterial large subunit ribosomal RNA", at positions 1927 to 2597 of the family's 2925-position model. The record is from RNAcentral. Lineage: Eukaryota; Metazoa; Arthropoda; Malacostraca; Decapoda; Palaemonidae.
AGGGCCGCGGUAAUUUGACCGUGCGAAGGUAGCAUAAUCAUUAGUCUUUUAAUUGAAGGCUUGUAUGAAUGGUUGGAUGAGAGACAUUCUGUCUUUUUUAAUUUUAUGAAUUUAACUUUUAAGUGAAAAGGCUUAGAUUAUCUAGUGGGACGAUAAGACCCUAUAAAACUUUAUAUAAUGUGUGUAUCAUAUACGUUUUUAGUUUAAAGUUAUUUUAUAUAAUUUAUAUUUCGUUGGGGAGAUGUUUAUAUAAUUUGUAACUGUUUUUUUAAUUAAAUAAUUAUAAUUAGUUUUUGAUCCUUUAUUAGAGAUUAAAAGAUUAAGUUACUUUAGGGAUAACAGCGUAAUUUUCUCUGAGAGUUCUUAUCGACGAGAGUAGUUGCGACCUCGAUGUUGAAUUAAAAUUUUAGAUUGGUGUAGUCGCUUUUCUAAUAGGUCUGUUCGACCUUUAAAAUUUU